Molecule: ribosomal RNA, 360 nt
Filed under: uncultured bacterium
Lineage: Bacteria
Description: bacterial SSU rRNA
Rfam family: Bacterial small subunit ribosomal RNA
Source: RNAcentral
AACGAACGCUGGCGGCAGGCCUAAUACAUGCAAGUCGAACGCCGUAGCAAUACGGAGUGGCAGACGGGUGAGUAACGCGUGGGAACCUUCCUAAUGGUACGGAAUAGCCCGGGGAAACCCGGAGUAAUACCGUAUAAGCCCGUAAGGGGAAAGAUUUAUCGCCAUUAGAUGGGCCCGCGUCGGAUUAGCUAGUUGGUAGGGUAACGGCCUACCAAGGCUACGAUCCGUAGCUGGUCUGAGAGGAUGAUCAGCCACACUGGGACUGAGACACGGCCCAGACUCCUACGGGAGGCAGCAGUAGGGAAUAUUGGACAAUGGGCGAAAGCCUGAUCUAGCCAUGCCGCGUGAGUGAUGAAGGCC